Molecule: ribosomal RNA, 377 nt
Filed under: uncultured bacterium
Lineage: Bacteria
Description: bacterial SSU rRNA
Rfam family: Bacterial small subunit ribosomal RNA
Source: RNAcentral
UAAUACGAGGGGGGCAAGCGUUGUUCGGAUUUAUUGGGCGUAAAGGGUGCGUAGGCGGUUUGGCAAGUCUUAUGUGAAAUCUAUGGGCUCAACCCAUAGUCUGCAUAAGAAACUGCCGGGCUUGAGUAUGGGAGAGGUGAGUGGAAUUUCCGGUGUAGCGGUGAAAUGCGUAGAUAUCGGAAGGAACACCUGUGGCGAAAGCGGCUCACUGGACCAUAACUGACGCUGAGGCACGAAAGCUAGGGGAGCAAACAGGAUUAGAUACCCUGGUAGUCCUAGCCCUAAACGAUGAUUGCUUGAUGUGGCAGGUACCCAAUCCUGCCGUGUCGAAGCUAACGCGAUAAGCAAUCCGCCUGGGGAGUACGGUCGCAAGGCUG